Molecule: long non-coding RNA, 395 nt
Organism: Zophobas morio
Lineage: Eukaryota; Metazoa; Arthropoda; Insecta; Coleoptera; Tenebrionidae
Exons: 4
Source: RefSeq, a predicted model, not a curated record
AUUCUGUGUAUGAGUUAAAUAUUAGUUUUUGAAUAUUUCAUCUUUGACAAACUCUUAAAUUUCUGGAAAACCUUGACACUAUUAAUAUGGUUUUUCUUUGGGAAAAUACCUUUAAAGUUUUAAAGGAUUUAAAGUUUUCCCUUUCCUGUGAAAUUUGCUAUGAGCUGGCUGUAGAACCUGUUACUAACAUGCAGUGCAGUCAUCAUUUUUGUAGAGCUUGUAUUUACGAGGAAAUAGCUAAAAGAAGUAGAUGUCCUGUUUGCGAUAUCCCUACUUGGAAAAAAGACUUGAAGUCAAACACUCUACUACAAUCUUUAAUAACCGCAGAAAAAGAAUUUUAUGCUUCUUUAAAUGGCUUAUAAUUUUAUAAUGUUAUUAUGAUAAACUCUAUUAUU